AUCCAACUGACGAGCCCCAAAUAGGACGAAACGCGCAUCCUGGAU
Molecule: non-coding RNA, 45 nt
Filed under: Schistosoma margrebowiei
Lineage: Eukaryota; Metazoa; Platyhelminthes; Trematoda; Strigeidida; Schistosomatidae
Source: RNAcentral